UCCUACGGGAGGCAGCAGUAGGGAAUCUUCCGCAAUGGGCGAAAGCCUGACGGAGCAACGCCGCGUGAGUGAUGAAGGGUUUCGGCUCGUAAAACUCUGUUAUUAGGGAAGAACAAACGUGUAAGUAACUGUGCACGUCUUGACGGUACCUAAUCAGAAAGCCACGGCUAACUACGUGCCAGCAGCCGCGGUAAUACGUAGGUGGCAAGCGUUAUCCGGAAUUAUUGGGCGUAAAGCGCGCGUAGGCGGUUUCUUAAGUCUGAUGUGAAAGCCCACGGCUCAACCGUGGAGGGUCAUUGGAAACUGGGAAACUUGAGUGCAGAAGAGGAAGGUGGAAUUCCAUGUGUAGCGGUGAAAUGCGCAGAGAUAUGGAGGAACACCAGUGGCGAAGGCGACUUUCUGGUCUGUAACUGACGCUGAUGUGCGAAAGCGUGGGGAUCAAACAGGAUUAGAUACCCUGGUAGUCCA
RNAcentral lists this ribosomal RNA (468 nucleotides) under uncultured Staphylococcus sp. RNAcentral's name for it is "bacterial SSU rRNA". It matches the Rfam family "Bacterial small subunit ribosomal RNA", at positions 337 to 797 of the family's 1533-position model. Lineage: Bacteria; Bacillati; Bacillota; Bacilli; Caryophanales; Staphylococcaceae. The record is from RNAcentral.